CACCAAAUGAAGCAAGGGCCUCAGAACGAGCACGCUCAAAUGACUCCUUCAAGGUAUCGGCAGAACGAACGACACGCAUACCACGGCCACCACCACCCAUGGCAGCCUUGAUGAUAACGGGGAGGCCAUAUUCCUUAACAAAAGCCUCAGCUUCUUCAUAGUGUUCGACGGGACCUGGAGUACCAGGAACGACUGGGACACCACAGCGAAUGGCGAUUGCACGAGCUUUCGUUUUGUCACCAAGAGAGUCAAUGACUUCGGGGGAGGGGCCUACAAAUUGCAUGCCAGCUUCGUUUACCUUUCUGGCAAAUUCGGCGUUUUCGGAAAGGAAACCGUAUCCUGGAUGAACCAAGUUGGCACCGGUGCGUUUGGCGAUGCUGACGAUUUCGUCAAUAGCCAGAUAAGCUCCUACUG
Molecule: non-coding RNA, 414 nt
Organism: Schizosaccharomyces pombe (fission yeast)
Lineage: Eukaryota; Fungi; Ascomycota; Schizosaccharomycetes; Schizosaccharomycetales; Schizosaccharomycetaceae
Source: the annotation of a GenBank genome assembly